GGAAAAGUAAUCAAAAUUGAGAUUCCCUCAGUAGUGGCGAGCGAAAGGGGAAGAGUCUAAACCGUUAUAAUGCCAAGUUGCAAGAUUUUGUUAUAGCGGCGUUGUAGGGCGACAUGUGAAAUACUUGCAUAUUUCGACUUUAAUCUGUAUGAUAGUAGAAUCGUUUUGGAAAAGCGAACCAUAGUGGGUGAUAGUCCCUUAUACGAAAUCAUAUAGUUGAGGUUAUGUCGUUCCUGAGUAGGGCGGGGCACGUGAAACCCUGUUUGAAUCUGGGUAG
This 277-nucleotide ribosomal RNA is filed under the name Brachyspira catarrhinii. RNAcentral describes it as "Brachyspira sp. Z12 partial 23S ribosomal RNA". It matches the Rfam family "Bacterial large subunit ribosomal RNA", at positions 215 to 451 of the family's 2925-position model. Lineage: Bacteria; Pseudomonadati; Spirochaetota; Spirochaetia; Brachyspirales; Brachyspiraceae. The record is from RNAcentral.